RNAcentral lists this ribosomal RNA (443 nucleotides) under uncultured bacterium. RNAcentral's name for it is "partial 16S ribosomal RNA". It matches the Rfam family "Bacterial small subunit ribosomal RNA", at positions 338 to 795 of the family's 1533-position model. The record is from RNAcentral.
CCUACGGGAGGCAGCAGUGGGGAAUAUUGGGCAAUGGGCGCAAGCCUGACCCAGCAACGCCGCGUGAAGGAAGAAGGCUUUCGGGUUGUAAACUUCUUUUCUCAGGGACGAAGCGAGUGACGGUACCUGUGGAAUAAGCCUCGGCUAACUACGUGCCCGCAGCCGCGGUAAUACGUAGGUGGCAAGCGUUAUCCGGAUUUACUGGGUGUAAAGGGUGUGUAGGCGGGAAGGCAAGUCAGUUGUGAAAGCCAUGGGCUCAACCUGGGAACUGCAUCUGAAACUGUUUGUCUUGAGUACUGGAGAGGCAGACGGAAUUCGUAGUGUAGCGGUGAAAUGCGUAGAUAUUAGGAGGAACACCAGUGGCGAAGGCGGGCUGCUGGACAGCAACUGACGCUGAGGCGCGAAAGCGUGGGGAGCAAACAGGAUUAGAUACCCGGGUAGUC